RNAcentral lists this ribosomal RNA (2856 nucleotides) under archaeon. Its description in RNAcentral is "23S ribosomal RNA". It matches the Rfam family "Archaeal large subunit ribosomal RNA". The record is from RNAcentral.
AUAACGCCAAUUGGUGAAUGACUAGGCUUGAGAGCUGAUGAAGGACGUGGCAAGCUGCGAUAUGUCCCGGCGAGGUGCAUGCAACCUUAGAACCGGGAAUUUCCGAAUUAGACCUCUUUAUGUUCAUUAAUAAGGGACAUAACUCCUUCGGGAGAGGGAACGCGGGGAAUUGAAGCAUCUUAGUACCCGCAGGAAAAGAAAGCAAACGCGAUGCCGUUAGUAAAGGCGAUCGAAAGCGGCAUAGGGCAAACUGAAUCUGCAUCCGCGAGGAUGUAGAGAUGUGGUGUUUGGCCCGGCAAUGGUCUUGUAACUAAUCAGAAGUCCCUUGGAAAGGGGCGCCAUAGAGGGUGAUAGCCCCGUACGAGUAAGAUUACAAGAACUGGCCGGUGUCCAGAGUAACGUUGGUCGGAUUUCCAGCGUGAAUUUGGGAGUUAACGACUCCUAACCCUAAAUACUUCUCAAGACCGAUAGUGUACUAGUACCGUGAGGGAAAGUUGAAAAGUAUCUCUAGCGAGAGGUGAAAAGACCUGAAACCAAUUGGCUAUAGUGCGAUAUAGCGUGAAAGGAAUGUAGCUUUUUAGGCGAAUCUCCAGCGAUGGAGUUUUACCCUUUGAAGCCAAACAAUGUUAUAUCAUCCGUUUUGAAAAACGGGGCAGGGAGUUUGUCUAUAUGGCAAGGAUAACCGCAAGGGUAUCCAUAGCGAAAGCAAAAGUCCGCAGCUUCGGCGAGGGACUGAGUAUACAAGUGCUCGAAGUCAUAUGGACCAUACCAGAAGCCAGUCGAUCUAUGCCUGGGCAGAGUGAAGUCUCUCGAAAGGGGGAUGGAGGCUCGUUACCGGUUCUGAUCCUAUUCGUUCGGGUGACCUGGGUAUAGGGGCGAAAUACCAAUCGAGACUGGUAAUAGCUGGUUCCUUCCGAAAUGUACCGUAGUACAGCCUGGCUAUAGAGUCGUGCGGGGGUAGAGUUACUGAUUGGGGAGCCCGGGAUGGAAACAUCUCACUUCCCUGUCAAACUCCGAAUACCGCAUGCUUGUAUGGCUGGAGUGAGGGCUUACGGGUAAGCCGUAGGUCCGAGAGGGAAACAACCCAGACCAGAGUUAAGGCCCCUAAAUGCUAGUUAAGUGUAAAUGAAGGCGUCUCUUUCCCAAAACAGCGGGGAGGUUAGCUUAGAAGCAGCAAUCCUCUAAUGAGUGCGUAACAGCUCACCCGCCUAGGAAAGGGGCACUGUAAAUGGACGGGGCUCAAACUAGCUGCCGAUACUUUGGUGCCUCACUAUGUGAGGUAGGUAGGAAGGUAUUCUGCGAGGGUAGAAGCAUCUGUGUAAGCAGGCGUGGACCACGCAGAAAAAAGAAUCCUGUCAGUAGUAGUAGUAUGUAGGGUGUGAAUCCCUACCGCCUUAAGAGCAAGGGUUCCUCGAAGAUGUUUAUCAGGCGAGGGUUAGCCGGUCCUAAGUGUUACCCUAACUGGAGUAACGCGAAUUGGGAAACAGGUUAAUAUUCCUGUGCCACGGUGAUACGUGCGGCAACGCAAGGCAAUCUGCCGACGCCUGAGGAUAGGUUGAGUACAGCCUAGCUGUAUCUAACUGUCUAAGACCAUGGAGUCCGUUAUGGAGAGAAGUGGUUGAAAGCAGGAUGGGCACGUCAUAUGGCGUGUUCAGCUAAAUCCUUGGGACCAUGAAAAGGAGAUUGCAAGGAGUCAUCGUGUCCGUACCGAGAUCCGACACGGGUGCUCUGGGUGAGAAACCCAAGGCGAAACGAGAUAACGCAGUUAAGGGAAUUCGGCAAAAUGGCCUCGUACCUUCGGAAGAAGGGGUGCCUGUUGUCUGCACUAAGUGUGGAACAGCAGGUCUCAGUGACCAGGGAAGUCGGACUGUUUAAUAAAAACGUAUGGGACUGCUAGUCCGAAAGGAUGUGUACAGUCCCUGAAUCCUGCCCAGUGCCGGUAUGUGAACUCUGGGUUCAACUGGAGGAAGCACCGGUAAACGGCGGGGGUAACUAUAACCCUCUUAAGGUAGCGUAAUACCUUUCCGCCUAAUUAGCGGAUUGCAUGAAUGGACUAACCAGAUUUCCGCUGUCCCUAACUGCUACUCGGCGAAUAUACCAUUGUGGUGAAUAGGCCACAGACUUUCAGCGGGAAGAUAAGACCCCGUGGAGCUUUUCGGCAGUCUAUUGUUGUGACACGGUUCUAGCUGUGUAGUGUAGGUGGAAGCCAUCGAAGUCUACUCGUUAGGGUAGAUGGAGGCGUCAAUGAAACACCACUCUGCUAUAACUGUGCCACUAACCCAAUUCGUUGGGGACAUCAGUAGAUGGGCCGUUUGGCUGGGGCGGCACCCUCCUGAAAAAACAUCAGGAGGGCCCAAAGGUCAGCUCAUCCGCGUCAGAACUGCGGAGAAGAGUGCAAGAGCAAAAGCUGGCUUGAUAUGAUUCUGCAACGCAAGGAAUCGUGACUCGAAAGAGAGGUCUAGCGAACCCCAAGCAAACCUAUCGUUAGGGGCUUGGGCUAUCAGAAAAGCUACCCCGGGGAUAACUGGCUGGUUUCAGGCAAGAGCUCGUAUCGACCCUGAAUCUUGGUACUUCGAUGUCGGCUCAGUCCAUCCUGGGAGUGCAGCAGCUCCCAAGGGUACGGGUGUUCACCGGUUAAAGGGCUUCGUGAGCUGGGUUUAGAACGUCGCGAGACAGUUUGGCAUAUAUCUGCUGGAAGUGUUCGUUGUCUGAGAGGAAGAUGUUCCCAGUACGAGAGGAACAGAACGUCGCAGCCUCUGGUCUAUCAGUUGUCUAACAAGGCAUUGCUGAGCAGCUACGCUGUAAGGGAUAAGCGCUGAACGCAUCUAAGCGCGAAACCUCCCUCGAAAAGAGACA